GACGAACGCUGGCGGCGUGCUUAACACAUGCAAGUCGAACGAAGAGCGAUGGAAGCUUGCUUCUAUCAAUCUUAGUGGCGAACGGGUGAGUAACGCGUAAUCAACCUGCCCUUCAGAGGGGGACAACAGUUGGAAACGACUGCUAAUACCGCAUACGAUCUAACCUCGGCAUCGAGGAUGGAUGAAAGGUGGCCUCUAUUUAUAAGCUAUCACUGAAGGAGGGGAUUGCGUCUGAUUAGCUAGUUGGAGGGGUAACGGCCCACCAAGGCGAUGAUCAGUAGCCGGUCUGAGAGGAUGAACGGCCACAUUGGGACUGAGACACGGCCCAGACUCCUACGGGAGGCAGCAGUGGGGAAUCUUCCGCAACGGACGAAAGUCUGACGGAGCAACGCCGCGUGAGUGAUGACGGCCUUCGGGUUGUAAAGCUCUGUUAAUCGGGACGAAAGGCCUUCUUGCGAAUAGUUAGAAGGAUUGACGGUACCGGAAUAGAAAGCCACGGCUAACUACGUG
This 510-nucleotide ribosomal RNA is filed under the name uncultured bacterium. RNAcentral's name for it is "partial 16S ribosomal RNA". It matches the Rfam family "Bacterial small subunit ribosomal RNA", at positions 28 to 507 of the family's 1533-position model. The record is from RNAcentral.